GAUGAACGCUGGCGGCGUGCCUAAUACAUGCAAGUCGAGCGAACGGACGAGAAGCUUGCUUCUCUGAUGUUAGCGGCGGACGGGUGAGUAACACGUGGAUAACCUACCUAUAAGACUGGGAUAACUUCGGGAAACCGUAGCUAAUACCGGAUAAUAUUUUGAACCGCAUGGUUCAAAAGUGAAAGACGGUCUUGCUGUCACUUAUAGAUGGAUCCGCGCUGCAUUAGCUAGUUGGUAAGGUAACGGCUUACCAAGGCAACGAUGCAUAGCCGACCUGAGAGGGUGAUCGGCCACACUGGAACUGAGACACGGUCCAGACUCCUACGGGAGGCAGCAGUAGGGAAUCUUCCGCAAUGGGCGAAAGCCUGACGGAGCAACGCCGCGUGAGUGAUGAAGGUCUUCGGAUCGUAAAACUCUGUUAUUAGGGAAGAACAUAUGUGUAAGUAUCUGUGCACAUCUUGACGGUACCUAAGCAGAAAGCCACGGCUAACUACGU
RNAcentral lists this ribosomal RNA (496 nucleotides) under uncultured bacterium. RNAcentral's name for it is "partial 16S ribosomal RNA". It matches the Rfam family "Bacterial small subunit ribosomal RNA", at positions 28 to 506 of the family's 1533-position model. The record is from RNAcentral.